Molecule: ribosomal RNA, 254 nt
Filed under: uncultured bacterium
Lineage: Bacteria
Description: partial 16S ribosomal RNA
Rfam family: Bacterial small subunit ribosomal RNA
Source: RNAcentral
UACAGAGGGUGCAAGCGUUAAUCGGAAUUACUGGGCGUAAAGCGUGCGUAGUCGGUUAUCUAAGUCGGGUGUGAAAUCCCCGGGCUCAACCUGGGAAUUGCAUUCGAUACUGGAUAGCUAGAGUUCGGCAGAGGGAAGCGGAAUUUCGGGUGUAGCGGUGAAAUGCGUAGAUAUCCGAAGGAACAUCAGUGGCGAAGGCGGCUUCCUGGACCAGAACUGACGAUCAGGCACGAAAGCGUGGGGGAGCAAACAGG